CUACGAAGGGGGCUAGCGUUGUUCGGAUUUACUGGGCGUAAAGCGCACGUAGGCGGAUUGAUCAGUUAGGGGUGAAAUCCCGAGGCUCAACCUCGGAACUGCCUUUAAUACUGUCAGUCUAGAGACCGGAAGAGGUGAGUGGAACUCCUAGUGUAGAGGUGGAAUUCGUAGAUAUUAGGAAGAACACCAGUGGCGAAGGCGGCUCACUGGUCCGGUACUGACGCUGAGGUGCGAAAGCGUGGGGAGCGAACAGGAUUAGAAACCCUAGUAGUCC
This 274-nucleotide ribosomal RNA is filed under the name uncultured bacterium. RNAcentral describes it as "partial 16S ribosomal RNA". It matches the Rfam family "Bacterial small subunit ribosomal RNA", at positions 523 to 796 of the family's 1533-position model. The record is from RNAcentral.